CAAAAAUGGCUGUCAUCGGCAAACUAAAUUUUUUUAAAAUAAAAUGAAUACAAUUUUGUACUCUCUAUAGACUGAAGUUUAAAAGGUAGAAAAAUAAAAAAUGUUAAAAAUAGUCAAGCAACCGCCUUUGGACCACUUGGCUUGGAUUGACCAUGAGAUAACCUUACACAAAAAACUAAAUAAGUACAAAAAGCUAGACUAAAUACUUACCUACUUCGUUUCUGGCUGCAUGCACUAAUCCGAAAGCCAAAAAAGUUAAAACUUAUGUACCUACACUUAUUUCUUGAUAAUUUUUCUGAGAUAGAAUAUCUCUCAGAGAAAAUCCCAAAUAACCUGAAAUGAUUACCUAUAGUAAGUAAGGUAUGCUUUAUUGUCAAAAAAUUUUACCAAUUUGUGGACAAAGCUUAUACAAAAUAAAAAAAUACAAUAAAAAACAAAAAAUAAUAAAAAACUACAAACAAAACAAAAACAGAAACAGACACCAAGUAAAUGGCGUGAGUUAUACUACUUAAUAUAAUUUUAUAGUUAUUAAGUACACAUUAAAAAAUUAAAAAUUUUGCAAACAAUAUGUAUACAACGUCAGAGCAAAAAGAAGGCGAACGAGGAAAAGGGAAAGAGAAAGUAAAUCAAAAGUUCUGUGCCGCUGCAAAUAUGUAUAAAAAUACUCGAAAGUAAUAAUCCUGCAAGUCAAUUUGCUGAAUUCAAAUCGUUUAUAAAAAAGUCAUUCACUGUAUAAAAAGCUCUCUCCAGCAAAUAAGCUUUCAAGGCCUUGCGAAAAGCGGGAAAUGCUGCAAUAGAUUUGAUGUUAGAUGGCAGGUGAUUGUACAUUUUUCUCGAAUUGUAUAGUAUAGAGCACUUAACCAGCUCAGACCGUGGGGUUGGCAGAUAAAGAUUAUGCUCCACGUUUCUAAGGGAAUAGUUGUGAGUGGGUCUCUCUGGACCUUCUGAUGCAUGUUUGCGGAUUAAACAAACGGAUUCAAAAACAAACAAAGAAGGAAGAGUUAAUAUUUUAAAUUUUUUAAAGAAUUCUUGGCAAUGAACUCUGCUAUUGAGUAUCAGGGAGUAACGAAGAGCUCUCUUUUGUAGUUUAAAAAUACGCUCAAAUUGAGUCGCACAACACGUACCCCAAAAUGGAAGGGCGUACCGAAGAUGAGACUCAAAAAGGGCAGAAUAAACGGUCCUAGAUGUUGACAAAUUCAUUUCCGUAGCAACUGAUCUUAGCGCAAAAUAAGCAGAACUUAAUUUUUUGUGUAAGGCAUCAAUGUGCAAGUUCCAUUUUAGAGACUUAUCCACAAUUAGGGCUUACAAUACCGAGCCAAAAUCUCAAUACCGGUAGGUAUUUGGUAUUUAAAAUUUCAAAUACCGGGAUACCGGUAUUAAAACCGGUAUUAUGAAUAAAAAAUAUACACGUUAUAUUUAUACUAUCGUCAGUUGUUAUAUCGACUUGUUAUUAAAUAAUAUAUGAAACCUAUUAUAUUUUGUUUUGAAAUGAGUAGAUGUUGUUUAUAACAUUACAUAGAGAGUAGGAAUAGAUAGAUACAAAAAAUGUGCAAAUAGAAAAACUAAGUAUAUAUUUGAUUCUAUGAUAAAUUUUGCAUAUAAUAGGAUAGUACUUUUACUUAUUAUUUGCUAUUUUUGUAAAUUAAUUUAACUUUAAAAUAUAUUAAUACAAAAAUUAACUUACUGUGACAAAUAUUUUAUAUGGAUUACUCUGUAUUUAGACCGCUAUAUAUUUUCAAUUAUUAUUAAUAAUUUAAAAAAUGAGUGAGCCUAAUUUAUACACCACAAUACACAAAAAAAUGAAAAAUAAAUCUGAAAAUGUAAAAAGAAUUUUGAUUAAUAAAUCUUACGGCUUAUUUAUAAAAUAAAGUAGUCUAAUUUUAAAUAUUUAAGAAUUUUUAUAUAACUCAUUUUAUGUAUUUGUAUAGACAAAAUUUAAUAAUUUGGUUGUAGAAGCUGAUAUAACCCUUCGCCUUAAAUUAUAACGACAUUCACGCUUUUAGAAAGCGCUAUACCUAACUUGUAUGUGUAAUAAAAGUGUUUAAUAAAUAUUUUUUACAAUGUAAUUGGUUGUUUAUCUUCAAAAAUAAUUUCUUGUAAUAGCAAAAAAUAUUUUAGAAGAAAGUUUAUUGUGCAUCAAUUCACUUUUUAUAAAUUAAGCUAAUACCGAAAUACCGGUAUUUUUAUUAUAAAUACCGGUAUCGAAUACCGGAAAAAAUCGUCCGGGAUCCCGGUAUUCGGGAUCCCGGAAUCCCGGUAUUGUAAGCCCUAUCCACAAUAAGCCCUAAGAACUUCACCGAUUCAACUACCUCUAGACUCUAGACUGUUGUUAUUAAGUACUAAAGGUUGCAUCAUACUGUUGUAAGGUAGGACUUUGGUUUUAGAAACGUUAAAUAAGAGGAGAUUCGAAUCGCACCACAAUUUAAUGGUGACUAGGUCUGUAGCUAUGGUAUUGCGAAGAUCCAUAAUAUCUGUGUUACUCCAAGUAAUACUAGUAUCAUCUGCAAAGAGACAUAUUUUACCUUUAAUGUUCAGACUAGAGAUGUCAUUUAUGUAUAUCAGAAACAAUAUAGGGCCUAGAACUGAACCCUGAGGUACCCCACAUUCUAAUGGCAUGCAAGAAGAUGUCUUCGUGUCAACCCUUACAAACUGACUUCUUUUAUUAAGAUAUGAUUUAAGCCAUUUAAGAGCCUUUCCCCUAAAUCCAUAGUGCUGUAAUUUGUCAGUCAAGAUGUUAUGGUUUACACAAUCGAAUGCUUUAGAGAAAUCACAGAAAAUUGUUGCUGUAGAGUGAUGGUUGUUUAGACUGGAGUAAACAUGAUCGAAAAGGAAGAACAUAGCAUCAUUCGUGCAUUUUUCACUCAGGAAUCCAAAUUGAUGUGGAGUAAGCAAUUUGUAUUUCAACAGAAAAGAUAAGAUUUUUUGUUUUUUUUACCAGACUUUCAAUUAUUUUCGACAACGUGGGCAGGAGUGCAAUAGGGCGAUAAUUCGAAGCAAGAUCUUUAUCGCCUCCCUUGUGUAUAGGAAUAAUUAUCGCUGUCUUAAGGCAGCUUGCAAAAACCCCAGUUUCGAAUGACCUGUUUAUUAAGGUAGUAAGAUGGUUUAAAGUGCAAUCAGGUAGAGCAGAAAACAUUUUAAGAGUGAGGCCAUCAGUCCCAGAUGACGAUUUAUUUUUAAUGUCAUUUAUUGUAGAGCGUAGUUCACCUAAUACUAUGGGUGUAAAAAAGAAACUAUGUAUUUACAUUCCUAUGAGAAAGAUAUGAAAUCGGAUCCUGAGAAGGAGGCUACUUAUAUAUACCUUAUCUAUGGAAGGAGGUAUAGUAUUUGUUAAAUUUUUUGCCACAUUUACAAAGUAAUUGUUCAGGGUCUCAGGAGAAGUCGGGAUUGUGGUGGGAGAAGAAGUCUUAUCUCUCAGUUCAUUUACGAUAGACCACGUUUCCUUAUCAACAUUACCUGAUUUAGCCAGCCUCGCAUUGUAAUAAAUUUCCUUGGCGACCUUUAUGGCUUUAUGGUAAAUUUUCUUGUAAAGCCUAACGUAAUCAUGGAAGGAUAUGUUGUCCGAGAAUUUUUUUAGGUACGAUAAUGAGCGCAUGUUCUUUGCAGAUAUACGUAGACCUCUAGUUGACCAGGGUUUACGAUGUUUAGUUUUGAUGGGCCUAAGAGGAAAGGAUUCGUAUGCCAGACCAGACAACAACUUUAUGAAUCUAGAAAACUCGAUGUCGACAUCAACAGAGCGGAAGUCCCAGUCAGUUGUUUGACAUAGGUGUUUAAAUGUUAGAAAAUUUUGUUCUCCAAAGACACGGAACAAUUUUCGUUGUGUGUUUUCACUACUAUUUUUUGAUUUUAACCAAAAUGUAGUCAAUACUGCUUCAUGAUCAGAGAAACCUGAGUUGAAAACAGUACAGUCAGUAGAAUUUGGAGCUAAAGACGAUAUAACUCCAUGGAAGCAAUGGAAGCAUUGCUUCCCUAGGUUUCCGUAGCAAUACUGUACCAACUGAGUAAAACUGAGAAGAAUAUUUUUAACAAAAAAUAAUUUUUUAAACACGCGUAAGCAGCCUUUUAAGUUGCAUAUGCAUACGAGAAUAUUCGCUAGUACGACCAGCGAGCAAUAAGAUAAGACAAACGUAUUUACUCUAUGUUUGUCAUACCGUAAAAUUUACUACAGUGAAAUAAUGUAAACGUAUUUCGUAUAUCCAGCGCUGCAGAUCUAUCCUUCGUAUUUCGAUGAUCGUAUUUCUGCGUGGGUAGUCGGAGAUUUCGGGAUAAUCUCUUUUCAGAGUUGCUUCUCAUUAGGCAAUCCAAACCACGUGACCUCUGGUUGGCACACAAACUAACAAAGAGGUUAUGUUUGCAUCUAUUUUUCAUUGUUUAUCGUCGUAUUUUGGAUUCAUUUGGAUUUCGUUUCCUGUUUUUGUGAACUUUAUAAACUUUACCACAAUGCAAACUGAUUAUUUAAGGAAAUUAUUAUUGGAAACUCCAGAUGUUGCGAGAAAGGUAGGCGAAACAAUUUUUUUUACUGUUCAUUUUGCCCCGAUAUUUAUCAAUAAUGAUGAAUUUUGCAAGCAAUAACAUUAUUUCUUUUAUUGUUCUAGAUAUUUAUUGAAGCUGAAAAUAAUUGGGGAUUUAGAUCCAUACGCAAUUCAGUCAGAAUUAGAUUUUACAGUAAAGUGCAGUCCAUCAAGUUACUAUUAUAGAUAUUUAUACAUAUCUGGUGGAGUCUGAUAUGUCACAGUUGCUACUCUAAGCAGCAGAUGAAAGCAUACAAAAGCCUUCAGGCACAUAAAUAUUUUACAGCUGGAUUUGUUUUGAAUGGAGUAAAAAUUGUUAAUGAUUUCCUGAUUUCCAUAUUAUUGUCGGAAAGGUGACGCAUUUCCAAAAAUCCAAUGCUAAACGACUAAAUGCUUGGGUGGGGUGAUAGCCAGUUCUGAUGACAUAGCAAAUUCACAUUGUAUGCGUAUGGCCGGUAAUAGUGAAGUCUGCAGCCAUAUUGCAGCAAUCCUAUUUUUAGCUUAGUAUGCUCAGGGCAAGACAGACGAAGAACCCAAUGUAUGUACAUAUGUUACAGCUACAUGGUUUGGAGAUAGCAACAUAUGCAUUCUCUGAUGAAAAACUAAUGAGUUUUGAAACUGUUCGGUCAGAGUGCUUGUUGCGCUCACUAAACGAAUUGAAAUAUAAGAUGGCUUUGGCAUUGUGUUGCAGCGAUAUGAAAAUGGUUAUUCAUUUUUAAUUAUAAUGUACUUCUUCAUCAUGAGUAAUUAUGUAUUGGUCUUUUAAAUGUGUAUUUAUUUUUGUAAUUAGUAUCAAGUUGUAAUAAUAAUAUUCAUUUAUCGUUUAAGGUAUGACUAUGUUUUGACUCUAAAAUAAAUGUUUUAAAAAUCGAAUCCUGCCUCUUUCUGUUAGUAACUACCCAUGGAUAUCACAAAUUGUGCUUACUGAUAGGUUUGUUCGUAGAACGAUCAGCAACUCUUGCCAACCAUCAGACACAUGUGCAUUCGUAGUCUAUGAAUGCUAACUAUUAACUGCACAACGCUAACUGUUAACUGCUCAUGCAUCUGAUGGUUGGCAGCAGUUGCUAAUCGUUUGUGUCGUACUAUGAACAAACCUAUUAGGUCUGGAUCCCGUGUACCAAAAAAAUUGAUUAAUAGCAAGCUGAACAUUUGUUAAUAGCUUAACGGUGUCCAGUUGGACAAACUUUGAUGUAUUGUGACACUGGAACAGGGGUAGUUUUAAUUGUGAAACAGUUUGGAAACUCAGAUUUGGAACAUCAGAUUACAAAAACAUCCCAUAUAUUUUGUCGGACAGAACAUCCAAUUGAUCUGUUAUCCUUUCAUUAAAUUCUCAUGCAAAAAUCAGACUGCUAUUACUAACCAACAUGAUUCCUGUAGUUUGACAUGGUCUUCGUGUUCUACUCAUUAAAAUGCCCAGUUGGUGAUUUUUUCACCAGUCUGGUUUUUGCAUGAGAGUUUAAUGAAUUGGUAGCAAAUCAAUUGGAAGUUUUAUCUGACAAAUUACAUAAACAUUUUCGUAGUUUGACGUUCCAAAUUUUUAACCUGUUCCACAGUUAAAACUUCCAGUGUUCCCGUACAUCAAAGUUUGUCGGACUAGACACCAUUAAGCUAUUAAUAAAUUUUCAGCUUGCUAUUAAUCAACUUUUUUUUGGUACGCGGGAUCCAGGUCUAUAUGGAAUAAAUAAAUAACAAAACAAAUUCCCUGUCAAAACUGCAUUUAUUUUGAAUAGAAUGAAAAACAAAAUAAUAUUGUUUUAACAAAAUAGGGGAUAAAUGUUAAAAUUUAGUACUAUUAAUAAAGUUUGUCACAUUGGCCUAAAAAUGAAUGUCACUAGUUACGUUAGUGUCACAUAUAAAUAAUUGUAAUAAUAUUAAUAAAAACCAUAAUUCCUAGCAUGAGUGCGUCCUGUUAUUUGACAAUUUAGUUAGGUGAGGAAACAUAAAUGAGUUUCUAAUACGGCUUUUCAUCGAUUGUCAUUUGUUUCGAGCUUCUGUCAGAUGUUGUAUAAUCCGUGUAUAAUAUUACUAUACACGGAUUAUAUGAUAGAAGCUCAAAACAAAUGACUGUGAAUGAAAAGCCCUAUAGAGGGAACACGAAAAAAAAUAACAUUAUCCGAUCAGCUCGACUUCCACAGUUCACUACUAUACAGAUUACAGGCAUGUUCUCAGCACUUAAAAUCACUACAAACGAAAAGUUUAUAAAAUAAUCAAUCUAAUGAAUGUCUUUAAAUACUAUAUUAAGCUCAAAAUCACGACAAAAAACAAAUUAAAAUUAACAUUAUUCUGAUCAGUCGGACUUCCACAGUUCACUACUAUACAAGUCACAGGCAUGUUGUCAGCACUCAAAAUCACCAAAAACGUAAAGUUUAUAAAAUAAUUAAUCUAAUGAAUGUCUUUAAAUACUAUAUUAAGCUCAAAAUCACGACAAAAAACAAAUUAAAAUUAACAUUAUUCUGAUCAGUUGGACUUGCACAGUUCACUAUUAUACAAGUGACAGGCAUGUUGUCAGCACUCAAAACCACCAAGAACGUAAAGUUUAUAAAAUAAUUAAUCUAAUGAAUGUCUUUAAAUACUAUAUUAGCUCAAAAUCAGGACAAAAAACAAAUUAAAAUUAA
Long non-coding RNA from Diabrotica virgifera virgifera (western corn rootworm), 7123 nucleotides. RefSeq lists it as uncharacterized. The transcript has 2 exons. The record is from RefSeq and is a predicted model, not a curated record. NCBI's taxonomy places the organism in Eukaryota, Metazoa, Arthropoda, Insecta, Coleoptera, Chrysomelidae.